Molecule: non-coding RNA, 183 nt
Organism: Pogona vitticeps (central bearded dragon)
Lineage: Eukaryota; Metazoa; Chordata; Lepidosauria; Squamata; Agamidae
Source: RefSeq, a predicted model, not a curated record
GUCUGUUGGAAGCAGUGAGUCUGUUCACCUGAACCCAUGCUGCCUGUUCUUCUUAGAUAACUAUGGCCUGAAGUACCUGCAGAGCCAGAAUUACUUGCAUGAUGAAUGUCCAGGACUGUGGCCAGAAGACAGAAGUGGAGAAGUGUCAUCAGUAUAAAAGACACAGGCAGAAGUUGCUUUGAA